RNAcentral lists this ribosomal RNA (497 nucleotides) under uncultured bacterium. RNAcentral's name for it is "partial 16S ribosomal RNA". It matches the Rfam family "Bacterial small subunit ribosomal RNA", at positions 28 to 507 of the family's 1533-position model. The record is from RNAcentral.
GAUGAACGCUGGCGGCGUGCCUAAUACAUGCAAGUCGAGCGAACGGACGAGAAGCUUGCUUCUCUGAUGUUAGCGGCGGACGGGUGAGUAACACGUGGAUAACCUACCUAUAAGACUGGGAUAACUUCGGGAAACCGGAGCUAAUACCGGAUAAUAUUUUGAACCGCAUGGUUCAAAAGUGAAAGACGGUCUUGCUGUCACUUAUAGAUGGAUCCGCGCUGCAUUAGCUAGUUGGUAACGGAACGGCCUACCAAGGCAACGAGGCGUAGCCGAGAUGAGCGGAUGGGCAGCCACACUGGAACUGCGUCCACGUCCCGACGCCUACGGGCGGCAGAAGGCUGGAAUAUUGGACAAUGGUCGCCAGCCUUAUCCAGCCAUACCGCGUGAGUUAAGAAUGCCUGCGUGUCGGAAAGCCCUUUUGUGGUGAAAGAAAAGCAGCACGUUAAUACCUCGCUGGUCUGACGGUACCUAAAGAAGAAGCACCGGCUAACUUCGUG